Molecule: non-coding RNA, 73 nt
Organism: Ixodes scapularis (black-legged tick)
Lineage: Eukaryota; Metazoa; Arthropoda; Arachnida; Ixodida; Ixodidae
Source: Rfam
UCCUAGUUAGUUCAGUAAAUAGGGCGCUUCACUGGAAAUGGAGAGGUUCCUGGUUCGAUACCAGGAACAGGCG